Molecule: ribosomal RNA, 292 nt
Filed under: uncultured bacterium
Lineage: Bacteria
Description: partial 16S ribosomal RNA
Rfam family: Bacterial small subunit ribosomal RNA
Source: RNAcentral
GUGUCAGCAGCCGCGGUAAUACGGAGGGUGCAAGCGUUGUCCGGAUUCAUUGGGUUUAAAGGGUGCGUAGGCGGUCUUGUAAGUCAGUGGUGAAAUCUCAGAGCUCAACUCUGAAUGUGCCAAUGAUACUGCAGGACUUGAGAGCAGUCGAGGUAGCUGGAAUGUGUAGUGUAGCGGUGAAAUGCAUAGAGAUUACACAGAACACCAAUUGCGAAGGCAAGUUACUAGGCUGUUUCAGACGCUGAUGCACGAAAGUGUGGGUAGCGAACAGGAUUAGAAACCCGCGUAGUCC